This 425-nucleotide ribosomal RNA is filed under the name uncultured bacterium. RNAcentral's name for it is "bacterial SSU rRNA". It matches the Rfam family "Bacterial small subunit ribosomal RNA", at positions 359 to 776 of the family's 1533-position model. The record is from RNAcentral.
GAAUCUUUCUCAAUGGGGGAAACCCUGAAGGAGCGACGCCGCGUGGGGGAUGAAGGGCUUCGGCCUGUAAACCCCUGUCAUUCGCGAACAAGGUCGGCUGUUGAAUAGACAGCCGGAUUGAUGGUCGCGGACGAGGAAGGGACGGCUAACUCUGUGCCAGCAGCCGCGGUAAUACAGAGGUCCCAAGCGUUGUUCGGAUUCACGGGGCGUAAAGGGUGCGUAGGUGGUGGGGUAAUUUCGAUGUGAAAGCUCCGAGCUCAACUCGGAAAUGGCAUUGAAAACUACCCUGCUCGAGGGUUGGAGGGGGGACUGGAAUUCUCGGUGUAGCAGUGAAAUGCGUAGAUAUCGAGAGGAACACCAGUGGCGAAGGCGAGUCCCUGGACAACUCCUGACACUGAGGCACGAAAGCUAGGGGAGCAAACAGG